AACACAAACCCCGGCGCUGAAUGCGUCAAGGAAUUUAAAAUUUGCUCUGAGCGCACCUGCAUGGCACCGGAGACGGUUUUCGUGCGGGUUGUGUUCUGACACAUAAUAUAGAAUGACUCUCGGCAACGGAUAUCUAGGCUCUUGCAUCGAUGAAGAACGUAGCGAAAUGCGAUACUUGGUGUGAAUUGCAGAAUCCCGUGAACCAUCGAGUCUUUGAACGCAAGUUGCGCCCGAUGCCAUUAGGUUGAGGGCACGUCUGCCUGGGCGUCACAUAUCGAAGCCUCUCGCCAAAUUCCUAUAUUGAUAGGGGUAUUGUGCAGGGCGAAUGUUGGCCUCCCGUGAGCUCUAUUGCCUCGUGGUUGGUUGAAAAUUGAGACCUUGGUAGGGUGUGCCAUGAUAGAUGGUGGCUGUGUUACGCACGAGACCAAGUAAAUCAUGUGCUGCUCUAUUGAAUUUAGGCCUCUUUUACCCACAUGCGUUUCGAAACGCUCGUGAUGAGACCUCAGGUCAGGCGGGGCUACCCGCUGAAUUUAAGCAUAUCAAUAAGCGGAGGAAAAGAAACUAACAAGGAUUCC
RNAcentral lists this ribosomal RNA (575 nucleotides) under Trifolium pallescens. RNAcentral's name for it is "eukaryotic LSU rRNA". The stretch from base 115 to 270 matches the Rfam family "5.8S ribosomal RNA". Lineage: Eukaryota; Viridiplantae; Streptophyta; Magnoliopsida; Fabales; Fabaceae. The record is from RNAcentral.